GAGUGGCGGACGGGUGAGUAACGCGUGGGUAACCUGCCCUGUACAGGGGGAUAACAGUCAGAAAUGACUGCUAAUACCGCAUAAGACCACAGCACCGCAUGGUGCAGGGGUAAAAACUCCGGUGGUACAGGAUGGACCCGCGUCUGAUUAGCUGGUUGGUGAGGUAACGGCUCACCAAGGCGACGAUCAGUAGCCGGCUUGAGAGAGUGAACGGCCACAUUGGGACUGAGACACGGCCCAAACUCCUACGGGAGGCAGCAGUGGGGAAUAUUGCACAAUGGGGGAAACCCUGAUGCAGCGACGCCGCGUGAGUGAAGAAGUAUCUCGGUAUGUAAAGCUCUAUCAGCAGGGAAGAAAAUGACGGUACCUGACUAAGAAGCCCCGGCUAACUACGUGCCAGCAGCCGCGGUAAUACGUAGGGGGCAAGCGUUAUCCGGAAUUACUGGGUGUAAAGGGUGCGUAGGUGGUAUGGCAAGUCAGAAGUGAAAACCCAGGGCUUAACUCUGGGACUGCUUUUGAAACUGUCAGACUGGAGUGCAGGAGAGGUAAGCGGAAUUCCUAGUGUAGCGGUGAAAUGCGUAGAUAUUAGGAGGAACAUCAGUGGCGAAG
RNAcentral lists this ribosomal RNA (609 nucleotides) under uncultured Lachnospiraceae bacterium. RNAcentral's name for it is "bacterial SSU rRNA". It matches the Rfam family "Bacterial small subunit ribosomal RNA", at positions 93 to 720 of the family's 1533-position model. The record is from RNAcentral. Lineage: Bacteria; Bacillati; Bacillota; Clostridia; Lachnospirales; Lachnospiraceae.